This 496-nucleotide ribosomal RNA is filed under the name uncultured bacterium. RNAcentral's name for it is "partial 16S ribosomal RNA". It matches the Rfam family "Bacterial small subunit ribosomal RNA", at positions 28 to 506 of the family's 1533-position model. The record is from RNAcentral.
GAUGAACGCUGGCGGCGUGCCUAAUACAUGCAAGUCGAGCGAACAGACGAGGAGCUUGCUCCUCUGACGUUAGCGGCGGACGGGUGAGUAACACGUGGAUAACCUACCUAUAAGACUGGGAUAACUUCGGGAAACCGGAGCUAAUACCGGAUAAUAUAUUGAACCGCAUGGUUCAAUAGUGAAAGACGGUUUUGCUGUCACUUAUAGAUGGAUCCGCGCCGCAUUAGCUAGUUGGUAAGGUAACGGCUUACCAAGGCAACGAUGCGUAGCCGACCUGAGAGGGGGAUCGGCCACACUGGAACUGAAACACGGUCCAGACUCCGACGGGAGGCAGAAGUAGGGAAUCUUCCGCAAUGGGCGAAAGCCUGACGGAGCAACGCCGCGUGAGUGAUGAAGGUCUGCGGAUCGUAAAACUCUGUUAUUAGGGAAGAACAAAUGUGUAAGUAACUAUGCACGUCUUGACGGUACCUAAUCAGAAAGCCACGGCUAACUACGU